RNAcentral lists this ribosomal RNA (253 nucleotides) under uncultured bacterium. RNAcentral's name for it is "partial 16S ribosomal RNA". It matches the Rfam family "Bacterial small subunit ribosomal RNA", at positions 524 to 776 of the family's 1533-position model. The record is from RNAcentral.
GACGAACCGUACGAACGUUAUUCGGAAUCACUGGGCUUAAAGGGUGCGUAGGCGGCGCAGAAAGUUGGGUGUGAAAUCCCUCGGCUUAACCGAGGAACUGCGCCCAAAACUACUGUGCUCGAGGGAGGUAGAGGUGAGCGGAACUUAGGGUGGAGCGGUGAAAUGCGUUGAUAUCCUAAGGAACACCGGUGGCGAAAGCGGCUCACUGGACCUCUUCUGACGCUGAGGCACGAAAGCUAGGGUAGCGAACGGG